UCCCUAUUUGUAUCAUCUCAAGCAGCGGCAGGUAGGACCAAGACUCAGGGUCCGCAACAUGAGCCUCUGCAGCGAAUGGAAGGUGGGGGGGGGGCAGGUGGGGGCCGAGCCUGGGCAGAUAGCUGUGAGGUACGUUUCCAUCUCUGCGGGUCGGGCAGGCGAAGCCAUUUCCAAUCUGCUCUCUAUCAUUUUCAAUAUCAUUAAUCCCAGACACUCUAUUUUCCAUGCCUGCGCAGCCAGGCCCCCGAGUGUGCGCCGUGUAAAGUGACACAUAUUCAUCACCGGCUCGUGGCGCCGGCGCCGACGCUGAUACAAUAUUAGUGUUGCCCCCCCGCAUGGGGCCCGCUCCGCCCGGCUCCCCGAUGGCACGAAUCCAUCACCUGGAGCCCGUGUCACUUUCCCCAGCAGCCACAUUUGUUUGGGCACUUAGGAGGUAAUUGUGGCACAUUAGCCAGGGUGGGGAAGGGUAGGGCGCUGGGACUCUGCAAAACGGAAGAGAAGGAGACAUCUUCACAUACGACCCCAAGCCAUCCUGUCCUGGCCCAGCACCUGGCUUUGGCUAGGCUCCUAGAAACCUGAGUUCUUGCUCAGUUCUGCGUGGAAAGCAUAGAAAUGGACCCAGUGUUUGGGGAGGUAAUGUCUGGGCCUAUCAGGAAGUCUUAGAGGCCAAGGCUUAGAGGUGAUUGAUGGCUUCAAAGUCUUUUAUAGCCAACUUGAUCCUGUCCCAGCACUGAAACAGGAAUGGCAGCCUCAAUGCCUCUGGCUCUGUGUGGAGCAGGUGAGUGAACCCAGCUCUGAGGGAAACUCUGGCUCUGGCCUCAGAGGCUGGUUCCAAGAGUGGAGGCUCUUCCUCUAAGAGAGAUUACAGGGUUCAGUCCUCAGGAACCCUCAGUGUGUUAUGUGCAGUGGAUAUCACCCUGCCUCAUUUUUGUUUUGUUUUGUUUUGUUUUUUCGAGACAGGGUUUCUCUGUGUAGCCCUGGCUGUCCUGGAACUCACUUUGUAGACCAGGCUGGCCUUGAACUCAGAAAUCCACCUGCCUCUGCCUCCCAAGUGCUGGGAUUAAAGGCGUGUGCCACCACCGCCCGGCUCACCCUGCCUCAUUACUAGAAGUGGGUCAGUUCAGGGGUCUUCUGGGAAGACUGCCUGGAGGUGGUGAGCUGCAUGUAAGGUAGCCUCUGGGUACAGGGAGUCUGAGCACAGGAGAGAAGGGAAGAGCAGUAGCCAGGGCCAUUGAUCUGAGCAGAGGCCAGACCACGAAAGGGCAUGGGCUCUUUUUCCCUAGUCCGCAGGGAUAACACCCAUUAACCUCGUCAGUAGACAAAUUGCCCGUCUUGUCAAAUUCCCAUUUAAAAUGCAAACUCGAUUUGACAGGGUAAACUGAGGGGAGGUGGGAUCGGAUGGAUAAUCCAGUGGAGGCUCAUUAUCAGGGCCCAAUGAGAGGGGCCUUCUGGAUUGCCUAACGAACCUGCCGUGAUGAACCUCGCAGCCUGUUAAUAGCCCAUCCCCCACUCGAUACUCUGACUAGCCUGCCCCACGGCCCACCCCUGCCUGCCCAAAGUCUGGGGGUUCCCAGCUGUCCACCACUACCUCUGAGAUGGUCCAUCUGAAGGCUCUGCAAUUGUAGCCGAGAAUCUCUCUCUCUCUCUCUCUCUCUCUCUCUCUCUCUCUCUCUCUCUCCCUCUCUCUCUGUAACAAACCAGCCCUUCCCAUGUCUCACUGGGAUCCUGUACAUGGAUUACACUACUACACUUGGACUAUAGUUGUCUUGUCAGUUAGAAUUAUUAACUCAUUUCCAACUGAGAAACCAGAGGCUCAGGAGGCCAUCUUCCCGGAAGCAGAGUGUCCCCUCUGGGACAUCCAUCAGAUUCCACGCGUCAGGCUUGCCACUGCUGUCCUCUACUCUGCUUUGAUUGUGAAUGGAUGUCCUUUCCUCGGCCUCCUUCGUUUCAGUGCUGUCACUUUCUAUGUGAGGUCAGGGAAGGUGACAUCUUUUUAAGCCUCAUUUGUCCCAUCUGGUUUUUUCUUUCUUUUUUAUUUUUCUUUCUUUUCUUCUUCUCCCUUUUUUUUUUUUUUUUUUUUUAAGAAGUGAUCAACAGCUGAGACUUUGAGUAAAGUUUAUGGCUUAGUGAGCCGCUCCGGUGCUAUUUGCAGAUGGUUUAACCUAGGGUGGGCUUGGGAAGAGAGCGAAGGCUGCUUUCUGAGGAAGCAGCUACUGAACAGGCCCCUCCUGAUUUCCAGGACCAAGGACUCCCUGGGCUCAUAUGUCCUCUUGCCUUCUACAUUCCAUGCUCAGGCUACUACAAGAAGAAGCUCAUGGUCACUCUCCAGGCCUGGGGUGGAGCUGACAGGUUGUCCAUCCCAGAGGAGCAUCCUGGGGAAUGCCAGAGGAAGGUACUGCCGACUCUGCACCGUUUCCUGCCCUCUACUAUAAUUGGUCUUUUGUCAACGAUUCCUAAAUCAUAUAAUAGAUGAGAAGGAGAUGCAGAAGGGCAACUAUGGGUAGCUAAUGGUCUGUGGUUUCACCUUAUCUCCCAGGGCAUCAUAGCUCUGCUCCCAGACAGGUGCAUAUAGAGCCUCCAGCCAGGCUACAUUUGUCCCUGUGGCAACACGGGGAAUUACUUAUGCUGCCUGAACAAGCCUGGAGCUGGCACUCAGUGACCUUGGGCAGUGUCCUCUCUGGGUCUUAUUGGGGCACCACUUCUCAGUUUUAGCUCAGUCUCUGACAGUCCUUCCCAGGCACCAAGCCAUGGCUCUGUGCUUUCCUUUUAUGAUUUCUUACUUCCCCCAGGGGAGGAUUCGAAUCUCUCAGCUCGCAUUCAAGGCCCAUCUCAAUUUGGCCUCAGUUUAUCUUCCAUCUUUCUCAUGACAAUUUUCUGAACUCCCCUGUCUCAUGCACCAGCCUUGAGUUACCCUCAUAUCUUCAUUUGGUACUGUCUCUAUAUUCAGUAGCCCAGAAGAGUACUUCCUUUGACCCACUCUGUCCUUCCACACCUAGUUUUAUCAGUGGUCUGGAAAGGACCCUAGACCCUUUCUUGGUGGGUAUAUUGUGUGUUGGGGGGACUAAAGGGGAAAAGCAGAGAGAUAAAUGGAAUGCCCAGAGUCCCUCCAGUUGUCAGCCCAGCCAUCCUCUGAGGCUGGCCUAAUUCCCUUCAGAGCCCAGCUCCCAUCUUCAGGGUGGUGCUUUGGGAGCUGAGAGCCCAACGCUAAUGCCUAAGAAAAGUCGUGGAUGGAUUAGAAAGCUAGGGGGAUUAGGGCCAGAGCUGGUGGCUGAUGCAGGAGCUGAGCCCCCUCCUCCUGAGGAAGAGGAGGCUAAUCCUGCUUAGCGACUGAGGAGAAGGAGCUGCAGAGCUGGGGGAGCCUUCUUCAUCCACUGAAGCUGCCAGCCCCAGCAGGCAAAGAAGAAGAAGAAGAAGAAAGAUCACCAACCCUGUCUGCCCAUCACCCUUUGUUACCCUGAAAACUUUUCAACCUCCUGUAUCCACCCCCACUGCCUUGUCCAGCUACAUCCCCAACUAUUUUAAGUGUUUUUGAAAUUGUGUCACACACACACACACACACACACACACACACACACACACACACACACACACUGUCAGGUCAUGCCUGUAAUGAGGGUGUCAGUUCCCCUGGAGCUGGAGCCACAGGCAGUUGUGAGCCUCUGGUCAAGUGAGUUUGAAAUCAAAGCAUAAGAGUAGUAAGUGUUUUUAACCACUGGGCUUUUUCUCUACCUCCAUCCUCUAACUUUUGUAGCUACCUAUUUCUUCAUGCACUGAGCUAUCUGCUAUGUCCCAUUCGUCUAUCCAUGCUGCUCACUGUGUCUGUUAUAGGUGGCCUUGGGAGCUGUUAGGUUUAUUCAUUCCUGCAACUCCUGGGACUGUUUGCUGCUGACCACAUUUGAGUUCCUCCUCUGGAUUUGCCCUCAGCUGCUCCCCCAAGACCAUACUCUCCUCAGGGGUCCUCAGUCCCCAAGUCAGGCCCGAGGAGGAGGAAGAGGAAAAACAACGUGCAGCUGAUCCUCUAAAUGCACACCCAGAAUGUCUGGCUCUGGACGACUGAGGAUCUGAAGGCUGUGGGCUCCUGGACAGCUGGCAUUUUGGGCAUUACAGCACAUAGCUGCUCCUCCUGAAGCUGCAACUCUGCAAAAAAGAUGUCAUUUUCUUCAGGACAUUGUGUUUCUGCCCCACUUGUCCUCUAGGCCAUCUCUCUUGGCAUCAUCUGACCUCUUUAAGGAAACUGGGGAAGCCACUUUUCUUGUGGCCUCAUCCCUCCUGGAGCAUAUUAUACCAGAGCCCCAGUGCUUCUUGUAAAGUGGACAGUCAGAAGCCAGCAACAUCUACUGGUCGGAUUGGGACCUUCAGGGGCUUCCCCACCCAGUGUCUGGGUCUCAGGCAAGGAUUCAAUCCAGGAGAAUCUGGAAUGGAGGUCUGGGACCUGAGCCUGGGAGGUGGACAAUGUUUCUCAUGUACAACCUGGGGCAGGAAAUGGUUCUAAAAGACAGCUAUCCUCUUGUGUGCCAUAUAA
Mus musculus (house mouse) is the source of this 4522-nucleotide long non-coding RNA. RefSeq annotates it as predicted gene, 38492. The record is from RefSeq and is a predicted model, not a curated record. The transcript is spliced from 2 exons. Lineage: Eukaryota; Metazoa; Chordata; Mammalia; Rodentia; Muridae.